GACGAACGCUGGCGGCGUGCUUAACACAUGCCAGUCGUACGGUAAGGCCCUUUCGGGGGUACACGAGUGGCGAACGGGUGAGUAACACGUGCGUAACCUGCCCACAACUUUGGGAUAACGCUAGGAAACUGGUGCUAAUACUGGAUAUGUGCUCCUGCUGCAUGGUGGGGGUUGGAAAGCUCCGGCGGUUGUGGCUGGACUCGCGGCCUAUCAGCUUGUUGGUGGGGUAGUGGCCUACCAAGGCGGCGACGGGUAGCCGGCCUGAGAGGGUGACCGGCCACAUUGGGACUGAGAUACGGCCCAGACUCCUACGGGAGGCAGCAGUGGGGAAUAUUGCACAAUGGGCGCAAGCCUGAUGCAGCAACGCCGCGUGCGGGAUGACGGCCUUCGGGUUGUAAACCGCUUUCAGCAGGGACGAAGCUUUUUGUGACGGUACCUGCAGAAGAAGCACCGGCUAACUACGUG
Molecule: ribosomal RNA, 465 nt
Filed under: uncultured bacterium
Lineage: Bacteria
Description: partial 16S ribosomal RNA
Rfam family: Bacterial small subunit ribosomal RNA
Source: RNAcentral